Myodes glareolus (Bank vole) is the source of this 758-nucleotide non-coding RNA. The record is from RefSeq and is a predicted model, not a curated record. Lineage: Eukaryota; Metazoa; Chordata; Mammalia; Rodentia; Cricetidae.
GUUCUGUUUCUGGUGCUGAUGGUCAUAGGGUCUGUGAUUCAUUUAUCUUUCCCUCCAGCUACAGAGAAACUAUCUGGGCCAGGCUUUUGUGAUAGCUCCAUGGAGCGAGUCCUCUGGAGAGAGGUAUAAGCAUGGCCAGUUACAUCUUUUUUGUUGCUGUUGCUCUUUGAGACAGGGUUUCUCUGUGAAACAGUCCUGCCUGUCUUGGAACUUACUCUGUAAACCAGGCCAACCUCGAACACACAGAGAUCCGCUUGCCUCUGCCUCCCGAGUGGUUGCAUCUUACGCAGAGGCUGAGGGGCGUCGGCAAUGAGCAGCCUGCAGUGUGGAGGUCUUCCUGAACCAGAGCACCAGCAAGCUGCUGAGCCUUGACUGCCCUGAAGAGAGGGUCCCUGAGAACCUCAGGAGUUUGACACUACCUUGAGUUUGCAACCCUACUACCAGGGGCGAAGAGGAGUCCUUCGAUGCACAGAUUAUGAAAAUCUCUUAAAAGACUCAUUUUAGGAAGAUGUCCAGAUAUCAGCAGCUCCUCCACCCCAUUUGGACACUGAACAAGAAUCUGGUUACAGGCUUUAAAAGACAGUCUGCAGGAUGUAAACAUACGAUGGAUUCUUAGAAAUCUGUUUCCCAUUUGCACUGUACUUAAUUUCUGUUGUUAAGAGUACACCCUAAUACAUAUUCAUGAGCGCUGAGAAAUCUCGCUGUGGCUCCACGCUCGUAUGCGAGAGUGCUUUUAAUAAAGUUUCCGAGUGACUUCC